UUGAACGCUGGCGGCAGGCCUAACACAUGCAAGUCGAGCGGAUGAAGGGAGCUUGCUCCUGGAUUCAGCGGCGGACGGGUGAGUAAUGCCUAGGAAUCUGCCUGGUAGUGGGGGAUAACGUCCGGAAACGGGCGCUAAUACCGCAUACGUCCUGAGGGAGAAAGUGGGGGAUCUUCGGACCUCACGCUAUCAGAUGAGCCUAGGUCGGAUUAGCUAGUUGGUGGGGUAAAGGCCUACCAAGGCGACGAUCCGUGACUGGUCUGAGAGGAUGAUCAGUCACACUGGAACUGAGACACGGUCCAGACUCCUACGGGAGGCAGCAGUGGGGAAUAUUGGACAAUGGGCGAAAGCCUGAUCCAGCCAUGCCGCGUGUGUGAAGAAGGUCUUCGGAUUGUAAAGCACUUUAAGUUGGGAGGAAGGGCAGUAAGUUAAUACCUUGCUGUUUUGACGUUACCAACAGAAUAAGCACCGGCUAACUUCGUG
Molecule: ribosomal RNA, 483 nt
Filed under: uncultured bacterium
Lineage: Bacteria
Description: partial 16S ribosomal RNA
Rfam family: Bacterial small subunit ribosomal RNA
Source: RNAcentral